RNAcentral lists this long non-coding RNA (2932 nucleotides) under Gossypium barbadense (sea-island cotton). RNAcentral's name for it is "long non-coding RNA (GBAR_LNC012260)". Lineage: Eukaryota; Viridiplantae; Streptophyta; Magnoliopsida; Malvales; Malvaceae. The record is from RNAcentral.
UUCAGAUAAAGAACUUUGUCUCAUCUGCUUCAUUUGUUUCGAAAUCUCUGAACAAAAAUGGCCUCUUUCAAUUGCUUUGCUUUAGCAUUCUUGAUGGCUUUGUCAUUUGCAAGCAUUGAUGUUGGGGUAGCAGCUCGUCACCUUCUGCAGCAGCCUCAAACGCAAAGUUUGCCAUCUUUCCCUAAUCUCCCAACGCCAUCCCGACCAUCAUUCCCAUGGCCUGGGGCGCUUCCUCCACUUCCUACCACAUUGCCAACAGGACUGCCCCCUCUGCCAAGCAUUCCCUCAGUCCCCACAAUCCCAACUGCAAUUCCCCCUAUUCCUUUCUCUUUUCCACCAUUGCCAUCUUUCCCUAAUCUCCCAAACCUUGGGGCGCUUCCUCCACUUCCUACCACAUUUCCAAGAGGACUGCCCCCUCUGCCAAGCAUUCCUUCAGUCCCCACAACCCCAACUACAGUUCCCUCUAUUCCUUUCUUUUCUCCACCACCUUCUCGUUCUACUCCUUGAAGUACCCCAUUUUUUUAUCUACUGCAUAUUGGAUCUGGUUUAAUAAGGUUUUUAGUCGUCUUUGUGGCUUUAUUAUGAGUACUGAUUUUGCACACUUAUAUUUGUUUGAAUAAAUGGGAUUUCUCCAAUUCCCAAUAUUUGGUGUACUUUGAUACAUUGUUGCUUAUUAUAUAUGAGGUAUUUAUAUAUUGAUGUUAUGUCCAUGAAGUAAUUAAUUACUAUUAUACCAUUGUUAACAUGAGUUUGGCUAAUUAAGAAAAGAAUCAAACGAUAAAUGCAGUCAAGAUAAUGAGCAGCCAUACAUCGAGAAGAUGCCACUGUUGAUAUAAUGAUUCCUGCUUCAUUAUCUCUUCCAAGUUAUCCAUUUACAUAAGAAUAUUUUCCUCUUUCAAUAUAUUUCCAUGAUAAUAUUUUAUAUGAAUGUCAAAUUAUGUAUUAAAUUAAGGUAGUCGGUUUCGUACAGAUUUCGGUUAUAUUAAUUUGUGUAUUGUUUUAAUUUUAUACUGAAAUAUUAAUGCUUUUAAAAUUAGAUCGAUAAUUAAAUUAAUCGAAUAAUUAAUUCUCAAUCCAAUAGGUUUAACCACUGAUACAAAUAAUUUACUAUUCAAUAAUAUUAAUUAUUAAAAUCCCCAAACUCCUAUUUUGAUGGCUUUGAAUUUUAAAACCCUCUCCCCAUCUUUCAUCUUUCCUAAUUUGUCCUUUUUUUUUCCAUUGAUUGAAUAUUAUAAGUCCAUCUUAGUUUUUUACCAGAAAAAAGAACUUAUUUUAGUAGAAAAAGUAAGAAAAAAAAUGUUGGUUAUUUUUUUAUGUUGUGUUUUAUUUCAUUGAGUACAGAGAUGAAGUGUAACAAAAGCUCAAGGGAUUUGAAGUGAAAUUUUUAUAUUUCUGAUUUAGAAAAUGUGAAAAUACGGCUUAAUCGACUGAUGAUUUGCAGUUUAAUUGUAGUUUACUCUAGUUCUAGGGUUCAUCAAUUCUUGGUUUGUUUGGUUCAAUUUCAAUAACAUUGCGAAACACCCAACACCCUUUUUCUACACUGGUGAAAAUUUUGGUCCGUACCAGUUGCAUCAACUCAUUCUGAUCAAUUUCAGUCACACCUGUUAGAGCAUAGUGCACCAUCCUAUGCAUGAAUAAUAUUAAAAUUUUAAAAUUUUUAAUUAUUUAUUAUUAUGCUAAAAACUUAAUUGAAACGUGACUAAUUAAAAAUGUUACAUCGAAAUGUAAAGUUUUUUAAAAAAUGGAAUAUACUUUCACUUUCAAAAUAUAAUUAAGAAAAAAUCAUUCACUCGGUUAUCAAAAAAAAAUUCCGUUCACCUUCUAGCUUCUUUUAUUAAGUAACUGAGCUAAAUCCUUAAAUUUUCAUAUUAAAUGAUAGAUUUUUAUUAUUAAUUUUGGAUUUAUUUGAAUGAUAAAUUUUAUUUUUUAAGUUUAUUAAUAAAUAUUUUAUAUUUGAAAUGUAUUUAGUUUCAUUCAUUUUAUAUUUGUAAUAUAUUUAUAUACAUAUCUUAAAUAAUUUUAAAAAAUAUUGAUAAAUCUGAAAAGAUAUGUAUCAAUUUCAGUAAACAAAAAAUCAAACGUCCACUAAUACAAAGAAAAGAAAUCUCAAUUCUUAAAAUUUCAAUCCCUUUAUAUUUAAAGUUGAAGACAGUAGAAGAAAAAUAGAAAUAGGUAUUAACAAUGAAAUUAGAUUUGAAUAACGUUGUCACUAGGCAUAAUUUAUUGACAAUUUUUGUAAGAGGUUACAUGUAUUUAAUAUGACAUAAAAAACUGUUAAAUUAACUCUAAGUCAUUAUAUAUUUGUUAAUUAAAUAAUAGGAAAAAUUAAUUGAAAAUAAAAAUAAAACAAAAACGUUGAUAAUAGGUUAAAACUUAAUCCAAAUCAUUAUAGAUUUUUUAUUUAAAAAAUGAACUACAAUUAAAAUGGAAAAAAUAAAAAACAUGUGGCGCUAUUUUGUUUUGGGAGCAGGAAUGGAGCAUCGUUUAAGGGCAAGGGAUUUCUAUUCACUGCUCCAAUGCCUAUAUAAACCUCAAUACCAUGCUUUGUUUUCCUCACUCACAACUAUUCAGAUAAAAAACUUCGUUUCAUCUGCUUCGUUUGUUUCGAAAUCUCUGAACAAAAAUGGCCUCUUUCAAUUGCUUUGCUUUAGCAUUCUAGAUGGCUUUGUCAUUUGCAAGCAUUGAUGUUGGGGUAGCAGCUCGUCACCUUCUGCAGCAGCCUCAAACACAAAGUUUACCAUCUUUCCCUAAUCUCCCAACGCCAUCCCGAUCAUUGUUCCCAUGGCCUGGGGCGCUUCCUCCACUUCCUACCACAUUGCCAACAGGACUGCCCCCUCUGCCAAGCAUUCCCUCAGUCCCCACAAUCCCAACUGCAAUUCCCCCUAUUCCUUUCUCUUUUCCACCAUUGCCAUCUUUCCCUAAUCUCCCAAAC